Molecule: long non-coding RNA, 1306 nt
Organism: Drosophila pseudoobscura
Lineage: Eukaryota; Metazoa; Arthropoda; Insecta; Diptera; Drosophilidae
Exons: 2
Source: RefSeq, a predicted model, not a curated record
AUAUACCCCUAUAGGCUAUUCACACUGACGACCAUCGACCAUCCAUUUCGGGGAUGGUCCGUAAGGUUUUGCCGUUCAAUUUCUCAGUUAGUCCGCCAUCCAUUUUGGAUGUUCCUAAACCGCACGUUUCUAUGCGAUAGUUAGCCGAUGGUUUUUAAAUGCAACUCUGAAUAAUUGUCACUCACAACGAAAAAAUGGUUAUUACUGCGAAAACGUAAACAAUGAUUGUGACAAAAUAAACAAAAAACAACAACAAUCAUGCUCAAUGGCUCGGAUGCAUUCAAGGCUGGCGAUGAGAUUGAAUGCGGCAUGGCCGAGUCUGCCAGGCUGAAGUUGCAAGUGUGUGGCGAAUAAAUGGCAGACGACUGCCAACAUAGAACAAAUAUUGUGAGUUUUUUUCGAACAUUAUCGAGUCGAAUCUGGACGGAUCAUGUAGCUCCAGCAGAAGAACCUUCACAGGAAGAAGGAAGAACAUGAUAUGAGGCAGGAAAAGAUAGCCUCAUCCACACGCAAAAAAAUUCCAGAAUGAUUUAUUGGAAGUGCUGAGAAAUAUAAAUAAAUAAGUAUUUGCAUUAUGGUCUAAACAAUAUUUUGCGAUUGCAGAUCGUAUCUGUUCUGCUGACUGAUUAAAAUCACCAGAACUGUUGCUGUUAUCGGGCUGUUCGCAUAUUUUGCUGUUGAAACACGGCCGAAAUAAUUGCUACAUCUUCAUCAACCAAAAAUUAAUAAAUCUUCCGCGCAAAUUUAAUGCACUUGUUAUUGGCAUUAGCUGUUUUUGACGGAUGGUGGAUGGUGCCAGUGUGAAUCGGAGUUUUACAUCUGUCAAAAAAUCCCACCAUUCCCCCGGGAUGGACUCAGUGUGCAAAGCCUACUAGACUCCUUAUGAGUAUCGGGUAUAAACAUAUUCAACUUAGUAUUAUAAAGUUCCUAGACAUCUUAGGAUGUCUUUAUCAAAUUGUUUUUCUAUAAAAACCAAGCUAGCUGUUUUUGUUUUUUAACAGAAUUUUGCGUAAGCGGGAACAUGUAUAAAAACGCGAAACCCGGCUCCCCCUGAAUAUAUUCAAGAAACUUUUUGAGCUUGUCUCAGAAAAACGGACAUAUCAGAAACUAUUAAAUGUUGUAUGUUGUAAUUGUAUUGUUGUAUGUUGCUAUAUACAUUUUUCACGAAUUCUGUUGUAAUUUAAAACUAUCAAGCUUUCAAAUAUAUUACCACUUGUAAUGCGAAUGCACCCAGUUCCCAUAACGCGGAGAGGAUUUUUUCGUCUACUUUUCCAGACUCAUCACUUUGGGCAGCAUCAUUAAUUUC